Molecule: regulatory RNA element, 77 nt
Organism: Clostridium bornimense
Lineage: Bacteria; Bacillati; Bacillota; Clostridia; Eubacteriales; Clostridiaceae
Rfam family: S10-Clostridia ribosomal protein leader
Source: Rfam
UAUAUGCGAUGAAGCAAGAGGUAGCCGGACUUUAGGGAAUUCUUGUGGAGUAUGCCACAUCAAGAAUGUGGCGGCGG